RNA transcript from Frankliniella occidentalis (western flower thrips), 2042 nucleotides. RefSeq lists it as uncharacterized. Lineage: Eukaryota; Metazoa; Arthropoda; Insecta; Thysanoptera; Thripidae. The transcript is spliced from 6 exons. The record is from RefSeq and is a predicted model, not a curated record.
GUGCUUUAAAAGGAGGCACACCAGCGACCCCGACCUCAGCGACCCGACUGGUGCAGGUAUUUCAAAAUUUAUUGUAACUGUCAACUGUGUCAGUGUGAGUCAGACGGUUCGGGCGCAGGCAGGAGUCAUGUUUAGUCAGCGGAAAGGAGCACCAGACGGGCAGGUGGGGUUGCAGUGCAGCAGGACCGCCGCGGCGGCAGAGGACACAUGGCUGACCACUGGCGCUCCGCUCGUCCUCAGUCCAGGUGAAGGGCUUCGGUAGAGCAGUCAUUUCUCUGGAUGUGGAACCUUGUGGCUGUUCUUACUGUCUGUGGUGAGCUGGCUGUGGGGCGUUGCCUGCUGUUACGUGGCUUGUCUGUCCCUUCAGGACGCCCCCCGGACAAUGCUCGCGUACCUGCCUGGCUGUCACUACAGCUUCCGUCUGAAGCGCCUUCAGCGUGGCAUGGGGCCCGGGCCUCACGCCUAGGACGAGCUGUGAGUGGCGAGGCGGGCCCUCAGGGCGGCGGGCGAUCCCCAUCGGGCAAAUACCACCGCGGUUCAAGUUUUUGAAAAGAACUCCUCGAGGCGACGUGUCCGGCGCGAUGCAGCGCUGCCGAGCCCGGGCCUUGCGUGCCCUUUGCGCUUACUAUCGUGUUACUUGACCAUGUUCGGCUCGACGCUCAAAGUCUCUAAGUUGCAGGCGCGGGCCAAGAGGAGGCAGAAGCAUUAGCGACGACCCCCCCCCCCCCUCCCCUAUAAGGGCGGACGGCACCCAGGCAGACCAGCCCGAGCAUCGGCGAGCACGCAGGAGGUUUGCCGCUGGCGCCAGGAGGCGUGGAAGAGGGGCAGUCGACGCAGAGGUGCAGUCCACGCGACGUUAGCUGGAAGUGGGUGCUCUCCGUCCGCCAGUACACGACGCUCUGUAGGCCCAGUUCAUUCAGUUGUAACCCCUCGCCGGCGACGCCGUGCAACCAGCCCGAGCAGCGGGACAAAACUCUGCGUCGGCGGGUCUCAGCAGAGCAGGGGGCGGUAGCGGCCCGACACGGUUCCGCCGCUGGCGUCCGGUCGAGGCCCGGGUAAAGUGGGGCUUGUUGUCAACGAGUAUUUCUAUGGAUGUCUAACUUAGCGGCUAGAUGCUGUACCUUCCCAGGCUGUCGGGAUGCCCUUGCUGCGACGUGGCGCUCGUCCUUUCCCUUCAGGAUCACAGGGCCGGCCCUGUGAGACGAGUGCUUCGUACCCGUCCUGCUCUCCCUACGGCUCGCGACUCGCGCCUUCAGCGCAGCGUGCGGGCCGGCCCGCGCGCAGGGGCGCGGCUGUACGUGGAGCGGGGGCGGGGCAGCUGGGCGCCUCACGGGCAUAUACCAUCGGUAGCAGAGUUGUUAAAAAGGGUACCUCGGUGUAGAUGUCCGGCUGAAAUAGGAGUUCGCCAAUAGCCCUUUCCCUUAUGUUAUACUUGAUUUGUCUUCUCGUCUCGUUGCUAAAAAUUCUUUCUAGUUUCGGCCAGGCAUGCUGCAGCAGGGCGAGUACCCAGGACCGCGCCGUUCCCGUCGCCGUGGACAGCGCUCUGACGUCGGCCCAGAGGACUCGUCGGCGCUGGAGUCCCACGCUGCCCCCGCUCUCGGCGCCGCCCCUAGGCCCUGCCGCGCGCAGAGCGAGGGGGUCGCAUCGAGACCUCUCCCUCCGAGCUGCAGAUCCGCGGGCGAAAGUGUUGGGUGAGCCAUCCUGCAGCGGAGGCUAGCGGGACGGAGGGGCACAGCCGGGCGCGGCGAAGGCGCGGGCUCGCCAGGAGGCGCCAGGACGCGGUGCUCACCACCAUCGUGGGACUUCCCCGGCGCACACCAAGGUAGUAUAUCUGUUUAGUUUACACCCAGUUUGGCCUUUCUAUUUAUCCAACGUUUUCUUUUGAAGCGAUCGCGGCAGCAGGAGGCGGCAGCAGGAGGCGGCAGCAGGAGGCGGCAGCAGGAGGCGGCAGCAGGAGGCGGCAGCAGGAGGCGGCAGCAGGAGGCGGCAGGACGCAGCAGCAUGUUAUUAGUGUAUGUGGUGUGGUUCAUGUGGUGUGUGGU